Schizosaccharomyces pombe (fission yeast) is the source of this 852-nucleotide non-coding RNA. The record is from the annotation of a GenBank genome assembly. NCBI's taxonomy places the organism in Eukaryota, Fungi, Ascomycota, Schizosaccharomycetes, Schizosaccharomycetales, Schizosaccharomycetaceae.
GAGAUUAUUGUGAGGAUUACUAAUUUGCAAAAUAUAAUUGUCGUGUACUUUGUGUUGCAUGAGCAACUUAAAUAGUUUAGUCAGUUUUUGAAGGCUUCGGAUACAGUGAAGAAAGAAGGUAAGAAUUUAUCUCUAAAAUUACUUUCUUUGGUCUUCUUCCCUACACGUCUCGCAUGUAUUAUAUUUAUCUGUAACGAUGAAGAUUGAAGAGAUUGUGAUUAAUUUCAUUUUUUGUUGUAGGCUGCGAUAAUUCAAAAGUUGAAAGACAAUGGAAUUCAAUAGUUACAGCCAUUGAUGGCUGAUUUCGUCAAUUGAAAUUUUUGGCAGCACUUUCAUAGCUGUGUUUCUUUACCUUUACUAAAUAUACCGUAAAAUAGCUUUUAGUGUAAAAAUGUUAAUAGAAUUCGGGCUAAUGCGAUUGAGUACGAAAUUAAAAUAAGAAUGACAAAUGUUGUUGAGCUAAAUAGCACAAACCCAAUGAGUGCAUUAAAAAGUAGAGAAUUAAUAAUAUUGUUUUGGAAUUUAAAAAAAAGAAGCCUACAGCACCCCGGAUUCCCAUGUUGUCUCCAACCAUAGUACUAACGAGGCCCUCAGACGCUUAACUGCAGUGAUCGGACGGGAACUGGUGUUUUCGCCUAGGUAUGGCCGUAGACGACUUGUUCUUAUAAUUGCACUAUAUAUAUUAUUCCAAUAUAAAAGAGAUACUCUAAUGUUAUAUACUAAACUCUUUUGUCAAUGAACUGUAAAAUUUUUAAUAUCCAUAUUCUUAUACUUUGCACGAGAUGUACAAUUAUUGAAAUCUUGUCUGUACGAAUUUAAUUUAGGAAAUAUUUUAAAAAAGCUAGCCAAAUU